CGCCGUCCGGGCUCCUCCUGCCUCGGCCUGUGCCAGGCUGGGGAGAGGACGGAGGUCACCGAGAGGCAGUGAGAGGUUGUUCCAGAAGAAACCUGGGAAACAAAAGACUAUGUUUGGAACACGAUGUGGAGAAAGCCAGAACUUAUUCAAACACUUCAGCAGCUGCAAAUUUCAAGAGCCUACUGUACUGAAGGCUGUUCUGCAGUUACAUUCCCCUCUGGGAGACAGUAAACUGGCCUUUCAGUUUGUACAUCAGCAUCUGGUGAUCUUGGUUAAUGUGAAUCAGUCCCCCUAGACCUGACCACUCCUGCACAAACUAAUAAACCUACAAAGCUAAAAUCCA
Molecule: long non-coding RNA, 343 nt
Organism: Homo sapiens (human)
Lineage: Eukaryota; Metazoa; Chordata; Mammalia; Primates; Hominidae
Exons: 2
Source: RefSeq, a predicted model, not a curated record